UGUGCCCAUCCUACUUCAAUUCUAUCAGGAUUAUGUGUGGUGCAAUGUCUUACCCAUAGAAGUCGAAAGUUUCAUAUUAGGUCAACCUUAGCUAUUCGACAAUGAUGUUAUGAUCUAUGGCCGAACCAACUCCUAUAGCUUUACUUAUCAAGGUAAGAAGAUCAUGAUUAAUCCUUCUCCAUCUAAGGCUACCAAUAGAAAGAUAGGUGAUGGACCAAAAG
This 221-nucleotide long non-coding RNA is filed under the name Elaeis guineensis (African oil palm). Its description in RNAcentral is "long non-coding RNA (EGUI_LNC057265)". Lineage: Eukaryota; Viridiplantae; Streptophyta; Magnoliopsida; Arecales; Arecaceae. The record is from RNAcentral.